UACGGAGGGCGCAAGCGUUGAUCGGAAUCAUUGGGCGUAAAGCGCGUGUAGGCGGUCUGGUCAGUCGGGUGUGAAAUACCGGAGCUCAACUCCGGAACUGCAUUCGAUACUGCCAGGCUAGAGUCCCGGAGAGGGUGGUGGAAUUCCCGGUGUAGAGGUGAAAUUCGUAGAUAUCGGGAGGAACACAAGCGGGGAAGGCGGCCACCUGGACGGUGACUGACGCUGAGACGCGAAAGCGUGGGGAGCAAACAGG
This 253-nucleotide ribosomal RNA is filed under the name uncultured bacterium. RNAcentral describes it as "partial 16S ribosomal RNA". It matches the Rfam family "Bacterial small subunit ribosomal RNA", at positions 524 to 776 of the family's 1533-position model. The record is from RNAcentral.